AUCCAGCUGACGAGUCCCAAAUAGGACGAAACAUGAGUCCCGGAU
This 45-nucleotide non-coding RNA is filed under the name Schistosoma margrebowiei. Lineage: Eukaryota; Metazoa; Platyhelminthes; Trematoda; Strigeidida; Schistosomatidae. The record is from RNAcentral.